GAUGAACGCUGGCGGCGUGCUUAACACAUGCAAGUCGAACGGAAAGGCUCCUGCUUGCAGGGGUACUCGAGUGGCGAACGGGUGAGUAACACGUGGGUGAUCUGCCCUGCACUUCGGGAUAAGCCUGGGAAACUGGGUCUAAUACCGGAUAGGACCACAUUUUGGAUGGUGUGGUGGAAAGUUUUUCGGUGUGGGAUGAGCUCGCGGCCUAUCAGCUUGUUGGUGGGGUAAUGGCCUACCAAGGCGUCGACGGGUAGCCGGCCUGAGAGGGUGUACGGCCACACUGGGACUGAGAUGAGGCAGAGACUGCUAAGGGAGGCAGAAGUGGGGAAUAUUGCACAAGGGGCGCAAGGCGGAUGCAGAGACGCCGCGUGGGGGAUGACGGCCUUAGGGGUGUAAACUCAUUGCGCUAGGGACGAAGCGCAAGUGAAGGUACCUGGAGAAGAAGCACCGGCUAACUACGUG
RNAcentral lists this ribosomal RNA (465 nucleotides) under uncultured bacterium. RNAcentral's name for it is "partial 16S ribosomal RNA". It matches the Rfam family "Bacterial small subunit ribosomal RNA", at positions 28 to 507 of the family's 1533-position model. The record is from RNAcentral.